Long non-coding RNA from Spinacia oleracea (spinach), 1489 nucleotides. RefSeq lists it as uncharacterized. The transcript has 4 exons. The record is from RefSeq and is a predicted model, not a curated record. NCBI's taxonomy places the organism in Eukaryota, Viridiplantae, Streptophyta, Magnoliopsida, Caryophyllales, Amaranthaceae.
UUAGCGUUCAAGUAGUAAAAUGUUAGGUAAAAUGAUAUAAGAUUUUUCUUAACUUUUACUACGCCAAAACUAACUUUUACAUUGAUAUUCUUAACUUUUACGGAGUAUAUUGAUAUUCCGAAUUUUUCACUUAAGUGAAACCCCAAAAGUUAUAAUUAGCCUUUUUGAGUAAAAAAGUAAAAGUUAGCUUUUUUGCAUUAAAAGUUAGCGUUCAUGUACUAAAAAUUAUUUAAAAUGAUAUAAGAUUUUUCUUAACUUUUACUACGCCAGAGCUAACUUUUACAUUAAUAUUCUUAACUUUUACGGAUUAUAUUAAUAUUCAUAAUUUUCACGUAAGUGAAACCCCAAAAGUUAAUAUUAGCCUAUUUUAGUGAAAAUGAAGUAAAAGUUAGUUUUUUUGCAUUAAAAGUUAGCGUUCAAGUAGUAAAGGUUAGGUAAACUGAUAUAAGAUUUUUCUGAACUUUUACUACGCCAAAACUAACUUUUACAUUGAUAUUCUUAACUUUUACGUAGUAUAUUGAUAUUUCGAAUUUUUCACUUAAGUGAAACCCCAAAACUUUUAAUUAGCCUUUUUGAGUAAAAAAAAAAGUAAAAGUUAGCUUUUUUGCAUUAAAAGUUAGCGUUCAUGUAAUCCCCCGUAAUUUUAUACAUUUUGUUUAUAUAUUUUAACGUAUAUUAAUAUAUUUAAAUAUAAUAUGCGGAUUUUAGAAAUGCAAAUGUAAUUAAAAUAUAAUGAUUUUAUUACAUUUUGAAUAUUUUAAUGAUUUAUGAAAUCAAAAUUUAAUUUUGAAUUUUACGUUAAAACGGAAUUCGGAAUUUGAAAUCACGUUCGAUUGAAAUCAGAAAACAAUCCCAACAAUUUUGGAUUCAUCAACCUAAAUCCUACUCCUAGCCCAAUUGGGCAAAGCCCAAACCAAUAAACCAACACAAUACUCCCUCCCCUUUUUCCCUAAUUCACGUGAAACCAGAAAGAAAGAAAAAAAAAAAGCAAACCCUCCUCCCUCCAAUCUCACGCACACAAGCAGCAGCAACUCUCUCUCUCAGCCGUGUCCUCUCCUCCGCCUUGCUCUCCACGGCGCCGUCCCAGCCGCCGACCACCACGAGCACGCUGCACCGCGAACUAGGCCAUCCACCACCGUCCGCCGGUCAAGCCUUGCCGCGAGCCACCAUCUGUCAGCCGGUCAAACUCCUCUCUCCUCUUUAAUUCUUGGCGGAGAAUUCUCUUUAGGCGACUUUUGAAAGUGUUAAAGUGGCCUAUCAGUUUGUUUACACAAGUCUGUAAGGAUCAAUAAGCAUUGUCCAUCUGCAGGUUCGAAGAUGUUGCAUCAUUGGGAUCGAGAAUAGAGAGCUUGUAUUUAGUUUUGAUUUAUUAAGUUGACUUGGGUUUGUUUAUUUGGACUUUAAACUUGUUAAUUGAUCUUAUUUUCGUUGAUUGGUUUUGGGAUUAACUAUGUAAUCGAUUAUUUAUAAACCUAAAGUUAGUUUUAUG